RNAcentral lists this ribosomal RNA (480 nucleotides) under uncultured organism. Its description in RNAcentral is "bacterial SSU rRNA". It matches the Rfam family "Bacterial small subunit ribosomal RNA", at positions 56 to 527 of the family's 1533-position model. The record is from RNAcentral.
UGCAGUCGACGGUAACAGAGAGAGCUUGCUUCUCUGCUGACGAGUGGCGGACGGGUGAGUAAUGCUUAGGAAUCUGCCCAUGUAGUGGGGGACAACUCGGAGAAAUCCGAGCUAAUACCGCAUACGCCCUACGGGGGAAAGCAGGGGAUCUUCGGACCUUGCGCUAUUGGAUGAGCCUAAGUCAGAUUAGCUAGUUGGUGGGGUAAGAGCCUACCAAGGCGACGAUCUGUAGCUGGUCUGAGAGGACGAUCAGCCACACUGGGACUGAGACACGGCCCAGACUCCUACGGGAGGCAGCAGUGGGGAAUAUUGGACAAUGGGGGCAACCCUGAUCCAGCAAUGCCGCGUGUGUGAAGAAGGCCUGCGGGUUGUAAAGCACUUUCAGUAAGGAAGAAAACCUCAGGGUUAAUAACUCUGUGGCUUGACAUUACUUACAGAAGAAGCACCGGCUAACUCCGUGCCAGCAGCCGCGGUAAUACG